RNAcentral lists this ribosomal RNA (1005 nucleotides) under Triticum aestivum (bread wheat). RNAcentral describes it as "partial small subunit ribosomal RNA". The record is from RNAcentral. Lineage: Eukaryota; Viridiplantae; Streptophyta; Magnoliopsida; Poales; Poaceae.
AUGGGGCUGUCUGCCGCCGCCGGUCCAUCAGUCCUCGGGAGGAGCCUGAGGAGAGCCGCGAUGUCCUCCACCAAUGGCGAGGGUGGCUCGGCCACCCCCAAGACGAUGGGCACGUUCACGCUGCCCGCGGCCUUCAGAGUGCGGCCGUCGUGCGUAGACGUGAUGGUCGCGGCGGCCACGAGGAAGAGAAUGGCGAGAAUUGCGAGCCGAGCCAUGGCUGAGCUUUGGGAGAUUUUGGUCCCCAUUCCCGUCCGCAUCCCUGCCGCCGCCGCCGCCCUCCCAAUUCCCUCCGCUCCUGCUGCUUCCCUCCACCUCUCCCUCCUCCACGCCGUCAGGGGCGCCCUUCAAGCCCCACCUCGUCGGUUCCCCACCCCGAGCUCCUUCUCCCCCAUCCCGGGCGAGCACUGGAUAGGCAGAGGGAGUGCCUUGGUCGAGGGACAACGAGGCUCGCCGGCUGGGCGACUUCGAGCGCUGGAGGCUAGACAGGCACAGGCAGGAGCGGAUCCAUGUAGGGGCAUGGGUGCCGUCGCGCCAUUGAAGGCCUCCACGACGCCCUCUACCAGCUCGCACUAUUGCUCCGGAAAAUUCCCUUUGGAAUUGGGGAUGAAGGAAUCGAUUUCGAUUGAUUGGCGCCCCGCAGACGACGGGCGUGGGACGCCGCGGGAGGCGUGCCGCAUUCGAGAGCCACCGUGGAUUAUCUUCGAGGUGUCAGGCGACAUUCGCCUCGAGACCUACCUCCGGGUCUCUUCCCACAUGACCAUUGACGGGCGCGGGUAGCGGGUCAGGCUCACCGGCAAGGUGCCGAUAUAUUUCUUAAUCUGCUCGUUAUGGUUCUCCAAAUAUUUUCAGAGAAUAAAACUGGCUGAAGAUGGUGCGUGCAGCUUGCCUCUGAACUCGUAAUGUCCGGCCAUUGCAUCUGGGAGGAGCUCCUCUUCAGGAAGAAUGCCGGGACGUACGACACUGCUGCGACUGCCGUUCUCGUCCGCGUUUUGACUACACUUGCAG